CUGUUACCUGUACUACGUUUGGAUACAGAGCGGCACACAGCACUGCUGAUAUCAGCUUGGGGUUCUCAGCAUUUGUGUUAGCCUGUGAGAGAAACAUAGCAUUACCAUAUGUGGUAUUUUAGUAGGUCAUGUGUUUGCCAGCAUUUGUCUUUCUUUUUUCUUUUGAGACAGUUCCACUUUAGCCCUGCCUGAACUGAGACUCGCUGUCUAGACCUGGCUGGCAAUGAACUCAAAAAGAUCCAGCUACUUCUGUCUCCCACUGCUAGAAUUAAAGAUGUACUACUGCCUUAGUUAGGGUUCUACUGCUAUGAACAGACACCAUGACCAAGGCAACUCUAAGGACAACGUUUAACUGAGGCUGGCUUACAGGUUCAGAGGUGGGAGCAUGGCAGCAGCCAGUCUUAAAGAGCUCACAAUUAUUUUUUUUUUCUAGAUACAUUCAUAGUUAUGAAGCCAGUGCUCUCGACUGGGAUGUGGUUAAGGGGUCCCUCACUAGAGCCAAAGUGGAACUGGUGCAAGUCCUGAUGCCCAGCAUGAUCAAAGUGAACUCUUUUUGCACAGGUUUAAACAAAUAAACACACAGAGGUGGUGUUGGUAUGCAUCAUGGAAAGGAAGAGCCUGGUUUGUGAGACAGACAGACUCUCCAGCAAAUACUAAUUGUUUUAACUCUUUUUUUUUAAAGGAUUUAUUUAUUAUUAUACAUAAGCACACUGUAGCUGACUUCAGACACACCAGAAGAGGGUGUCAGAUCUCAUUAUGGGUGGUUGUGAGCCACCAUGUGGUUUCUGGGAUUUGAACUCAGGACCUUUGGAAGAGCAGUCAGUGCUUUUACCUGCUGAACCAUCUCGCCAGCCCCAUACUAAUUGUUUUAAAACAAAGGACGUCUCCAGAUUGUUAGUGAAACAAAAGCUUUGUAGAGACCUUCUCCAUCAAGACGCUGGCUUCCCAGACGCCAUGGAAGGAGGCCUACAACAGUGUCACAGGGGAAGACAGAAACACAUAUCCUCAUCUUCAGAAAUCCAUUUUGCAUAGCUGAGAAGACUGAGCAGUCCCACUGUCCUGACAACCCCUCUGGGCAACUGCCAGCUACGCCAGCGAGAUGAUGAGGAUGGCACAGAAGACCCAACUCACCUGCAGGGUUCUCCCAGACAGGAAAUUCUGUCUGCAGUAAUUAUAGCUUGCUCGUGCGCUUUCUUUUGUACUCAGCUGCCAACCCUAAAUCGUGGAGAGAAUCAAGCUGAACUUACUGACAUUGGUGCCAGCUGUGGCCACACACCCACGUUCUGAGGGCCCCUUACCUUAUAUGCACAUAGAAGGGCCAGGUAAUCGCUGUUUGCAAAUGCAAACUCCAGCUUUUUCUGAUUAGCUUCUUCUUUCUUAUCCCAGGGAGACACCUAGAUGAGGAAUGGAUUUGAAGGACACGGUGUAUCUGAGGUUUCAAAUGGCCCCUUCCUAUGCUGAAGCCACUACCUGGGGAAACCUCUUGCAGGGUCAGGGUCAAGCCCGACAGUGAAGCUGAUGAGUGGCCUGUUUGUUCUGUGAGUUCGAAAUGAACCCAAGAUAAGUUCUUUGGUCUUUUAGGGCCGAAUGGCAAAAGACAAGCCAUCAAAGGACCGCUCUUUUUUUUCAGGCUCUGUCAUUUGGCUCUUUCUACUUCUUUCUUUUAAUGAUUUACCUUUAUGUGCAUUGGUGUUUUGCCUGCAGGUGUCAGUAAGGGUGACAGAUUCCCUGAAACUGGAGAUACAAAUAGCUGUGAGCUGCCAUGUGGGUGCUGGGAAUCAAACCCUGGUCCUCUGGAAGAGCAGCCAGUGUUCUUAACUGUUGAGACAUCUCUCUAGCCCCCGUUUUUGAUUUUUAAGACACUCUCACUGUGAGACUCUGGCUAGCCUAGAACUUGCUAUGUACACUAAGCUGGCUUCAAAAUUGUGGUGCCUCUGCUUCCAGAAUAAAAGAUCAUCACACCU
Molecule: long non-coding RNA, 1964 nt
Filed under: Mus musculus (house mouse)
Lineage: Eukaryota; Metazoa; Chordata; Mammalia; Rodentia; Muridae
Description: predicted gene, 50087
Source: RNAcentral